CCUACGGGAGGCAGCAGUAAGGAAUAUUGGACAAUGCUCGCAAGAGUGAUCCAGCCAUGCCGCGUGCAGGAAGAAUGCCCUAUGGGUAGUAAACUGCUUUUGAACUAGAGAAAAUCCCAGUACGUGUACUGGGCUGAUAGUAUAGUUAGAAUAAGCAUCGGCUAACUUCGUGCCAGCAGCCGCGGUAAGACGAAGGAUGCAAGCGUUAUCCGGAUUCAUUGGGUUUAAAGGGAGCGUAGGUGGACUGAUAAGUCAGUGGUGAAAUCUCCGAGCUUAACUCGGAAAUUGCCAUUGAUACUGUUGGUCUUGAGUACAGUUGCUGUGGGCGGAAUAUGACAUGUAGUGGUGAAAUACAUAGAGAUGUCAUAGAACACCGAUUGCGAAGGCAGCUCACAAAGCUGUAACUGACACUGAGGCUCGAAAGUGCGGGGAUCAAACAGGAUUAGAUACCCUGGUAGUCCGCACCGUAAACGAUGAUUACUCGCUGCUAGGGGGCAACCGUUUAGUGGCUUAGCGAAAGCGAUUAGUUAAUCCNCGNGGNGNGCGGCGACGAGACGACANAGAGUUAGAGGCGNGAGAGNGCGACGGACGACGACGAGGGAGGAAGG
This 608-nucleotide ribosomal RNA is filed under the name uncultured bacterium. RNAcentral describes it as "bacterial SSU rRNA". The stretch from base 1 to 537 matches the Rfam family "Bacterial small subunit ribosomal RNA", at positions 338 to 873 of the family's 1533-position model. The record is from RNAcentral.